AUACGGAGGGGGUUAGCGUUGUUCGGAAUUACUGGGCGUAAAGCGUACGUAGGCGGACUGGAAAGUUGGGGGUGAAAUCCCGGGGCUCAACCCCGGAACUGCCUCCAAAACUUCCAAUCUAGAGAUCGAGAGAGGUGAGUGGAAUUCCAAGUGUAGAGGUGAAAUUCGUAGAUAUUUGAAGGAACACCAGUGGCGAAGGCGGCUCACUGGCUAGAUACUGACGCUGAGGUACGAAAGCGUGGGGAGCAAACAGGAUUAGAAACCCUAGUAGUCC
This 274-nucleotide ribosomal RNA is filed under the name uncultured bacterium. Its description in RNAcentral is "partial 16S ribosomal RNA". It matches the Rfam family "Bacterial small subunit ribosomal RNA", at positions 523 to 796 of the family's 1533-position model. The record is from RNAcentral.